Long non-coding RNA from Rhagoletis zephyria (snowberry fruit fly), 754 nucleotides. RefSeq lists it as uncharacterized. NCBI's taxonomy places the organism in Eukaryota, Metazoa, Arthropoda, Insecta, Diptera, Tephritidae. The record is from RefSeq and is a predicted model, not a curated record.
UGCCUCUAUGAAACUCAGAGCAUUUCAGGCGCCAAUUCCAAAAACAAAAAAAUAAUAUUAAAGAAAUUAGCAAAGCACAUGGUCGGUCGUUAGCAGCUGGUGGGCACGAGAAUUACCCCAUCUACAUACUUGAAACCAUUUGGACGCAGAGCGAAGCAGGCGAAAGAUGUGCGCAGUGUGCAAAGCAUUUAAAUUUAAUAGCAGAAAGCAGUGGCGAAUUUCUUAACGAGGCCGAACAACCGAAAACACACUAUGCACUUGCUGUACGGCAUGCUGGAGAAGGAAACACUAUUAUAUAAUGGCACCCAAGCGCUUGGAAACCAACGGAAUAGUAACGUGUCAAGCCAUUUACGACAGCGAAAACUUGCCCGUUUGUACAUAUAUUUACCUCAACAUAAUUGUACAUCGCCAAGUCGCAAAUGGCAUGCGCAUCACGCCAACGCAACUCGGUAAAUUGCUGCAAUACUUCAGCGGUACUUAAACUUGUUUGAUUAAAUAGCGACAUUAGCUGCGUACAAUCUUCCAUGCCUGCAUUUAAGCCUUGCCCAUAGUAGGGUACCAUAGCGUGUGCAGCAUCACCUAGAACUAGCGCCUUCGAGCCGUAGUGGUAUGGAUAGCACUGGAAAUUAGGAAACAUUUUAUUAUAAACUGGAGUUUCGGUGAAAAUUUAUAUAAUAGAAUUACUUAUUUGAGUUAUAUUGAAAAUAGAAUAAAGUCUUUAGCUUAAAUAAAUUAUAGAAAAUAUAAUAGUCCA